RNAcentral lists this transfer RNA (85 nucleotides) under Felis catus (domestic cat). It matches the Rfam family "tRNA". From Rfam's summary of the family: Transfer RNA (tRNA) molecules are approximately 80 nucleotides in length. Their secondary structure includes four short double-helical elements and three loops (D, anti-codon, and T loops). Further hydrogen bonds mediate the characteristic L-shaped molecular structure. tRNAs have two regions of fundamental functional importance: the anti-codon, which is responsible for specific mRNA codon recognition, and the 3' end, to which the tRNAs corresponding amino acid is attached (by aminoacyl-tRNA synthetases). tRNAs cope with the degeneracy of the genetic code in two manners: having more than one tRNA (with a specific anti-codon) for a particular amino acid; and 'wobble' base-pairing, i.e. permitting non-standard base-pairing at the 3rd anti-codon position. The record is from Rfam by way of RNAcentral. Lineage: Eukaryota; Metazoa; Chordata; Mammalia; Carnivora; Felidae.
GCCUGGGUGGCUCAGUUGAUGGAGCAUCUGACUUCAGCUCAGGUCAUGAUCUCGCAGUCUGUGGGUUCGAACCCCAUGUUGGGCU